RNAcentral lists this long non-coding RNA (277 nucleotides) under Pongo abelii (Sumatran orangutan). Its description in RNAcentral is "lincRNA". Lineage: Eukaryota; Metazoa; Chordata; Mammalia; Primates; Hominidae. The record is from RNAcentral.
CCAGCUGCUCCAAGCCAGGCUGAAGGAGGAGAAGGAGGAGUCGCCUGUGGUACGGUCCAGCCUGCAGAUGACGUGGCUCUGCAGCUUGGUUGAUGCGGUUGGUUGUGGUGGUGAUGGAGACCGCAGCUCAACCAGAGCGGUAGGAGGGCACCCACGGGGGCCAGGUGAGUACUGUCAUCUGCAUGAGCAAACCUGGUUCAUCACCACAUGUUUGCAAGAGGAAAAAGAAGGGGGGAUAAUUAUGUGUAUAAUGUUGUAAGGCAACGAUUCACAACCA